Molecule: ribosomal RNA, 497 nt
Filed under: uncultured bacterium
Lineage: Bacteria
Description: partial 16S ribosomal RNA
Rfam family: Bacterial small subunit ribosomal RNA
Source: RNAcentral
GAUGAACGCUGGCGGCGUGCCUAAUACAUGCAAGUCGAGCGAACAGACGAGGAGCUUGCUCCUCUGACGUUAGCGGCGGACGGGUGAGUAACACGUGGAUAACCUACCUAUAAGACUGGGAUAACUUCGGGAAUCCGGAGCUAAUACCGGAUAAUAUAUUGAACCGCAUGGUUCAAUAGUGAAAGACGGUUUUGCUGUCACUUAUAGAUGGAUCCGCGCCGCAUUAGAUAGUUGGUAAGGUAACGGCUUACCAAGGCGACGAUGCGUAGCCGACCUGAGAGGGUGAUCGGCCACACUGGAACUGAACCACGGUCCAGACUCCUACGGGAGGCAGCAGUAGGGAAUCGUCCGCAAUGGGCGAAAGCCUGGCGGAGCAACGCCGCGUGAGUGAUGAAGGUCUUCGGAUCGUAAAACUCUGUUAUUAGGGAAGAACAAAUGUGUAAGUAACUAUGCACGUCUUGACGGUACCUAAUCAGAAAGCCACGGCUAACUACGUG